Molecule: ribosomal RNA, 254 nt
Filed under: uncultured bacterium
Lineage: Bacteria
Description: partial 16S ribosomal RNA
Rfam family: Bacterial small subunit ribosomal RNA
Source: RNAcentral
GACGAACCGUGCGAACGUUAUUCGGAAUCACUGGGCUUAAAGCGCGUGUAGGCGGGACGGCACGUCGGUCGCUGAAAUCCCCCGGCUUAACCGGGGAACUGGCGUCGAUACGACCGCCCUGGAGGGGCGUAGGGGGACCUGGAACUUCCGGUGGAGCGGUGAAAUGCGUUGAGAUCGGAAAGAACACCAACGGCGAAAGCACUCUGCUGGGCCGACACUGACACUGAGAGACGAAAGCUAGGGGAGCGAAUGGG